GAAACAGAGAAGAGAUAGAGUUAAAGCCACUCACAGAUCGGUCCAUGUCAGCGACGAAAGCUGGAUUGCUUCCAGACACAAGGCAGCCGAGGAGGCGCGGACAAAUUGCAGGACAGAUGGGUAAUAAUCCAGAAGAACGGGACUGAAUGGAUUUUCCGAAUGGUUGGAAGGACGGCUAGGCACCAAGGGGAAAAAGGUCUUUGGGCUGUGGGAGGAAACCGAAGUACUUGGAGGAAACCCACCAAGCACAGCAAGAUCAUGCAAACUCCACAAACACAGACCCUGAGGCAGGAAUCGAACCUGGACCCUGGAGGAUGUCACUGUGCCGCCUUUGCAAGUGAUUUCUGAGUACCAGUCUAUACCUGUCCAUCUACUCCAGGGUGUGGCUACAUCAUAAAUACAGACAGGCAUAGUUUCUUCAGAGGUGGACUUUUCAAGGCAACAGUUUCAGUGCUUUUAUUAUUUCUGGGAACAAUGGCAGAUAAAAAGCCAAAAGGUCAAACCCCUCAGCGCGAUAAGGUCAAAAAAUCCCAGGAUGAGGGCAAGGGCAAAGGGAAAACCCAAGAGCAUGGACAUGGGCAUGGGCCAGGUAAAGGCCAAGGUCAUGACAAGGUUCACAGUCCUGAUCACGGUCAUGGCCAAGCACAUGGAAAGGAGGGAAAAAACAAACCAAAAUGACAGAGUUGAAUGAAGAAACAACAGAUGUCUGCCUGCUUCUUCUUGCCCACACAUCACUAAUAAAGAUAAAAUGUGUAUAAGCCAGAAA
This is a long non-coding RNA of Clarias gariepinus (North African catfish), 766 nucleotides long. RefSeq lists it as uncharacterized. Lineage: Eukaryota; Metazoa; Chordata; Actinopteri; Siluriformes; Clariidae. The record is from RefSeq and is a predicted model, not a curated record. The transcript has 7 exons.